Molecule: ribosomal RNA, 668 nt
Filed under: Paenibacillus sp.
Lineage: Bacteria; Bacillati; Bacillota; Bacilli; Caryophanales; Paenibacillaceae
Description: bacterial SSU rRNA
Rfam family: Bacterial small subunit ribosomal RNA
Source: RNAcentral
GAACGCUGGCGGCGUGCCUAAUACAUGCAAGUCGAGCGGACCUGAUGGAGUGCUUGCACUCCUGAUGGUUAGCGGCGGACGGGUGAGUAACACGUAGGCAACCUGCCCUCAAGACUGGGAUAACUACCGGAAACGGUAGCUAAUACCGGAUAAUUUAUUUUGCAGCAUUGUGGAAUAAUGAAAGGCGGAGCAAUCUGUCACUUGAGGAUGGGCCUGCGGCGCAUUAGCUAGUUGGUGGGGUAACGGCCCACCAAGGCGACGAUGCGUAGCCGACCUGAGAGGGUGAACGGCCACACUGGGACUGAGACACGGCCCAGACUCCUACGGGAGGCAGCAGUAGGGAAUCUUCCGCAAUGGGCGAAAGCCUGACGGAGCAACGCCGCGUGAGUGAUGAAGGUUUUCGGAUCGUAAAGCUCUGUUGCCAAGGAAGAACGUCUUCUAGAGUAACUGCUAGGAGAGUGACGGUACUUGAGAAGAAAGCCCCGGCUAACUACGUGCCAACAACCGCGGUAAUACGUAGGGGGCAAGCGUUGUCCGGAAUUAUUGGGCGUAAAGCGCGCGCAGGCGGUUCUUUAAGUCUGGCGUUUAACCCCACAGGUUUAACUUUUGCUCCCACUGUAACCUGGGGGAACUUGACUGCCAAGAUGAUAGUGAAAUUCCACGCGUAC